This is a non-coding RNA of Triticum urartu, 106 nucleotides long. NCBI's taxonomy places the organism in Eukaryota, Viridiplantae, Streptophyta, Magnoliopsida, Poales, Poaceae. The record is from Rfam.
UUCCUCUGAUUUGUGGAAGGUGCUGAAAAGCUCGGUAGAGCGUGUGUUGUCAUCAGCUUCGUCUCUUGACCCUACGAGAUGGGAGUUAAAUAACGGCACGAAAUCU